RNAcentral lists this long non-coding RNA (547 nucleotides) under Sorghum bicolor (sorghum). RNAcentral's name for it is "long non-coding RNA (SBIC_LNC006974)". The record is from RNAcentral. Lineage: Eukaryota; Viridiplantae; Streptophyta; Magnoliopsida; Poales; Poaceae.
UACAUUUACAUACCUCGUCAGUAUUUUCUUCUUGUUGCACGACAAGUUGUUGCUCAGGGGCAUUGCCCUCUUGUUGCUCAGGGGCAUUGCCCUCUUGUUGCUCAGUAGGAUUGCCUUGCAUGAUGUCGUGGUAAUCAACGAAGUACUGACUACCGUCGUCGAUUAUAUUUUGAAUGGCAGCUUCCAUAUAAUCAGGAUCAUCAUGAGGACGGUCAGCCAUUUCUAUGUCUGCAACCAUACAUAUAUAUAUUCUAUAUAAGAUAAGAAAUACACUAAUACUACUACAAAUGAAAGUGUUGGAGUGCUCUAAAAAUAAUACUAGGAUCUUUUAAGCCAAGUAAUACAUUAGAAUAAAAAACAAUACUAGAAUAAUACAUACAUACAAAAAAUAUUACAUAUAUAUGUGUGUAUAUGUACAAAAAAUAAUAUACAUACAUACAAAAAAUAAUACAUAUAUAAAAAAUAGAACAUACAUACAUACUAUAUAUAUACUAGAAUAAUAUAUUAAAAAAAUAAUACAUACAUACAUACAUACAUACAAACAAUU